This 492-nucleotide ribosomal RNA is filed under the name uncultured bacterium. RNAcentral describes it as "partial 16S ribosomal RNA". It matches the Rfam family "Bacterial small subunit ribosomal RNA", at positions 29 to 507 of the family's 1533-position model. The record is from RNAcentral.
AGUGAACGCUGGCGGUAGGCCUAACACAUGCAAGUCGAACGGCAGCACAGUAAGAGCUUGCUCUUACGGGUGGCGAGUGGCGGACGGGUGAGGAAUACAUCGGAAUCUACUUUUUCGUGGGGGAUAACGUAGGGAAACUUACGCUAAUACCGCAUACGACCUACGGGUGAAAGCAGGGGAUCUUCGGACCUUGCGCGAUUGAAUGAGCCGAUGUCGGAUUGGCUAGUUGGCGGGGUAAAGGCCCACCAAGGCGACGAUCCGUAGCUGGUCUGAGAGGAUGAUCAGCCACACUGGAACUGAGACACGGUCCAGACUCCUACGGGAGGCAGCAGUGGGGAAUAUUGGACAAUGGGCGCAAGCCUGAUCCAGCCAUACCGCGUGGGUGAAGAAGGCCUUCGGGUUGUAAAGCCCUUUUGUUGGGAAAGAAAAGCAGCAGGUUAAUACCCUGCUGUUCUGACGGUACCCAAAGAAUAAGCACCGGCUAACUUCGUG